Non-coding RNA from Oryctolagus cuniculus (rabbit), 8274 nucleotides. The record is from RefSeq and is a predicted model, not a curated record. Lineage: Eukaryota; Metazoa; Chordata; Mammalia; Lagomorpha; Leporidae.
AGGAGGUGGACCGCCAGGGACGUUACUUCCUAGUGUCGCUCCUGGGUUUUUUUGUCCCGUCGUGGACUUGUCUUAGAGGUACUGGUCCAUUUUUCCGGCCGCACCUCGUCCCUUCAUCCUGUUCUCUACAGACUUCCCCGGCUACAGAUGCCAAAGUACCUUCACCCGCUUCCUGUUUUUCCAGACAUGACUGAUUUUCUCUCCUGCAAGAACAACGUGCCUACACCAGACUCUCUAACUGUGGUCUACUUGUGUAACCACAGAGCAAGAUAUAGGACCAGUGAUGAGGGGACCGUGAGGAGAGGAAUCGUCUAGUCUCAGGAGGGUUUCCUUUUUGGUGUUCAGUCAGUUGUCACCGAUCAGGGAGAACAUAUGGUAUUUGUCCCUUUGGGACUGGCUUAUUUCACUCAGCAUGAUGUAUUCCAGAUUCCUCCAUUUUGUUGCAAAUGACUGGAUUUCAUUGUUUCUUACUGCGGUAUAGUAUUCUAAAGAGUACAUAUCCCAUAAUUUCUUUAUUGCAGAGGUAAGUAAGGCAGCAAUGGAUCAGGCAAAGUAAGUUUGCUGCCCCCUAAAGCCCCAGAUAGUAACUUUUAGAUGUUGGUGACUUGUUCCACCCUACAAUCAGGUUACAUAGCUAGUUGGCCAUUCUGUGCAACAAGAGGACCAGUGUACUCACAAAGGAGCAGAUGGCAACACUGCCAUCCUAAGUUACACUAGAGGCUUUCAUUUGACCGCCUUCCAAGUAGCAGGAACCAUGAGAGGAAGCAGACUGUGGCCUUCUCCUUGCUUGUAGAUUGGACUGGCAUGAAGAAACUAGGAAAAUAUACAGACAAGCUCAGCCAAGGCCUAAGUGGACUGCCGAACAUUGGUAGAAGCAAAAAUGUGAGGAAGAGCAGAUUAGGCUAAGGCCGGAGUGACAAAGCCUCAGGUGAACACAGGAGGGUCCAGGGGGAGGAAGAGGCAGAUGACAGACAGUAGCUCCUGUCCUAGGUGGUUUUCCUGGAUUAAUACUGGAGACAAUGUGGCCUCUAAUCACAAAGACUCAGUUGUAGCCCAUAAACUUCCUCUAGCAGUUCAAGGGCUGGAAUAUCGGUGAUCUUACAAGAGGCAGCCCUUAGAGUAUCAUGAGUCUCAAAUUGGCCAGAUUUUGAGGGAAAAUAUAAUCUCAUUUUGAAGGAUAGACUUCUUCCCAAAGGGAAAGAAAAAACUCUGUUAUUGUACAUCAUGAUAAUUCAAACUGUAACUUUGUUCUCAUUUAAAUUAAAAGACAAACUAUAACACUUUGACAUUUGUAUUAUACACACCUCAGGCUCAGUGCAUUGGGAACAUUUUAUAGGAAGUUAACAUUAGGGUUUUCAAGUAUUUUCCUAGUUGCUGGGUAUUAGAAAUUUUAGCUAUAUGUGAAAAUUUCAACAGUUUUUGCUGUCUUUUUUUUUUUGACAGGCAGAGUGGACAGUGAGAGAGAGACAGAGAGAAAGGUCUUCCUUUUGCUGUUGGUUCACCCUCCAAUGGCCGCCGCGGCCGGCGCGCUGCGGCCGGUGCACUGCGCUGAUCCGAUGGCAGGAGCCAGGUACUUAUCCUGGUCUCCCAUGGGGUGCAGGGUCCAAGUACUUGGGCCAUCCUCCACUGCACUCCAGGGCCACAGCAGAGAGAUGGCCUGGAAGUUUUUAAAACAGGAAUGGUUUAGACAAGAAUGAAAGCUCCUAAAUUUUUAAAUCUAAUGCUAGUUUGACUUUUCUGCUUCACUUAUGGGAUAAAGAAGAAACUGGUAUCUGUAACUUCAGAAUGAGGGGAAGAAUGUCUCAUCAGAGGAAAAUGUUGCUCAUUUAAAUACAGAUAUAUUUUGUCUUUGAAUCUUGACUUUGUUUCACUUCUUUGUUCUUGGUAAAAGGGCCAAGAACCCACCAAUAGAUAUGAGGUACAUAGAGACAGAAACCCCUGGGGCAUGUUACAGUAGGAUUACCUCCAUCUUCACUCAUGGUGGCCCAUAUACAGAAAUGCAGAACAGGUGCAGAGCAUUGAUAUUCUGCCUUGCCAUCAAAAGUAAUAUGUUUGUAAAUGCUACAUAUAAUCUUGGUUGCAUCACCUAAGGUACUAAUGAAAUACUGCACAUAGUUUCUAUGUUGAGAAGGAAGAGGUCCAUUUUUAUUUCAUACGUGUGCAUACAUAUUUGCACACAUAUGCCAGAGUCAUUUCUCUAAUGGAAUUCACAGUAAAAUAUGCUCACUAGGAGCAUAUCUGAUACCAAGGUUUGCUCACCCAGCAGUGUGGUAGGUAGUACCCAGAAGAAUGAUUGGAUAUUUCUGAAUGGCCAGUGUAGUUAGUUCAUGUGUGUGCAUUUGAGGCCCAGUGAUACCAUUUUUUUUUGACAGGCAGAGUGGACAGUGAGAGAGAGAGAGAGACAGAAAGGUCUUCCUUUUGCCUUUGGUUCACCCUCCAAUGGCCGCUGUGGCUGGCGUGCUGUGGCCAGCGCACCGUGCUGAUCCAAUGGCAGGAGCCAGGUACUUAUCCUGGUCUCCCAUGGGGUGCAGGGCCCAAGCACUUGGGCCAUCCUCCACUGCACUCCCUGGCCACAGCAGAGAGCUGGCCUGGAAGAGGGGCAACCGGGACAGAAUCCAGCACCCUGACCGGGACUAGAACCCGGUGUGCCGGCACCGCAAGGUGAAGGAUUAGCCUAGUGAGCCGCAGCACCGGCCAGUGAUAUAAUUUAAACAAUGCUUUAAACAAAGAUACUGGAAGAUUGUUCUUGGUAUUCAGUUGUUAACUUGAAAAAUGUGCCCAUGAGAAUUACACUGCAGUUUGUCAUCAUGGGCAUUUCAGCUGUGAGGACAGCAAAAAUAUGGGCUUAUUGAUUUGCACAGAAACAUCUCACUUGAUGAUCUAGUGUAAAUUUUACAAUAUAUUGAACCUUUAAGUUUCAUCACCAGGUUGUUAUCUCUAAAAUGACCUUUGUGCUCCUACAGGUCUGUUUCUAUAAACAGAGGAACCACAUAUCUUAAUAUUUUCACUUCCUUACAACUUCACCAAGAAGGAGACAGCAGGCACUUUGCAUGUCCCAUUGGUCUCCAAAGUAUGUACUGGCAGUCUUCCCUUUCCAAGUAGUGCAGACACAGAGGGAGAGGCAGCGAGGUCUAACAUCUGCUGGUUCACUCUCCAAAUGGCCCCAACAGCCACAGCUGUGCCAGUCUGAAGCCAGGAGCCAGAAAUUUCUUCUGAGUCUCUCAUGUGGGUGCAGGACCCCAAGCACUUGAGCCAUCUCCACUGCAUUCCCAAGCCAUCAUCAGAGGGCUGGGUCAGAAGUGGAGUAGCCAGGACUCAAACCAGCAGCCAUAUAGGUUGCUGGCACUAUAGGCAGAGGCUUAACAUACUAUGCCACAGCUCCAGCCCCUGAUGAGUUAUUUUUUAGAAACAGCUUUAUAUAGUGAUUAGAACUGCAGUAUCAACUUGGGCAAAUAUUACAGGUAUCCUUAAAAAGUAGAGUUUAAAUAAGCACAUCACUUAUGUAUGUCUUUUACAUGAUCUGUACCUACUGAUUAGUAUGCUUGUGUUUCUGGGGUCUUUUCCAACAAGUCUUCCCUAUAUCAAUGUCUUGAGAUUUUCUCCAGUGUUCUCCUCUUAAUUUGAUGGCAUCAGGGCAUAGAUUGAGAUCUUUGAUGCUUUUUUGAGUUGAUUUUUGUGCAAGGUGUAAGGUAGAGUAUAAAAGGUUCUAUAGUUAUUCAUUAGGUCCAUUUGGUCUGUUGUGUCAAUUAACUCUGCUGUAUCCUUGUUGAUUUUCUGUCUAGUUCAUCUUCCAUUGCUGAAAGUGGGGGUAUGGAGGUUCCCUGUUAUUAUUGGAUUCUAUGUCUCCCUUUAGAUCCACUAACAUUUCUUUCAAAUAACCAGGUGCUCUGUAAUUGGUUGCAUAUACAUUUAUUAUAGUUACCUCUUCCUGUUGAAAUGAUCCCUUAAUCAUUACAUAGUGCCCUUCUUUGUUUCUUUGAACAGUUUUUGUGUUAAAGUCUAUUUUGUCUGAUAUUAGGAUGGUUACACCGGCCCUGUUUUGUUAUUCAUUCACAUAGAUUUUUUCCAUCCUUUCACUUUUAGUCUAUGUAUAUUUAUUGGUGAGGUGUCUUUUAUGAGCAGCAAAUAGAUGAGCCUUGUAUUUUAAUCCAUUCAGCCAGUGUGUAUCUUUUAAUUGGGGAUUGAUUAAAUGUCAGGCAUUUACAUUCAAGGUUACUAUUAAGAUUUGAGAACUGCCCUGCCAUUUUUCUGUAAAUAUUGCUAUUGUUUGCUUUGGAUUUUCUUUGUGCUUUUCCUGGAAGAUUUUCUGCCUUCACAUUUGUUCAUGAUGAUGGCUGUCUUCCUGUGUUUCUGUUUGUGGCACAUCCUUAAGCAUCAUUUUGUAAGGCUGGAAUAAUGGUGACAAAUUCUUUCAAUUUCUGUUUUUUAUGGAAGGCCUUUAUUUUAUCCUGAUUCUUAAAUGGGAGCUUUACAGUGUACAGUAUUCUGGGUUGACAAGUUUUUAUUCUUUAAGACUUGGAUUGUGUCUCUCCAUUCUCUCCUAGCCAGUAGGGUUUCUGAUGAGAUGUCAGUUGUGAGUCUCAUUGGAGAUCCUCUGAAAGUAAUCUGAGAUUUCUUUCUUGCACAUUUUGGGAUCUUUCCUUUAGGUUUUACUCUUGAAAGUUUUACUACAGUGUGUUGUGGUGAAAAUCUUUUCUAGUCAUGUCUAAUAGGAGUAGUAUGUGCUUCGUAUACUUGGACAUCUCUUUCUUUCUCCAAAUUGGGAAAGUUUUCUGUAAUUACUUCACCGAAUAAGCCUUUUAAUCCAUUCUCUCUUUCCACACCCUCAGGAUCUUCUAAGAUUUGUAUGUUGGGUCAUUUGAUGAUAUCCCAUCAUUCUCCAAGACUUUUUGUUUUUCUAAUUUCUUUUGUCUCUUUUGUCAGUCUGAGAAAUUUCCAAUUAUUUGUCUUCUAGCUUGGAUAGUCUUUGCCUCACCAAGUCUGUUGAUCAGGCUAUACACUGUAUUUUUUUAUUUGACACAUUGACUUCUUCAUUUCUAAUAUUUCAGUUUGAUCUCUCUUCAAAAUCUCAAUAUCAUGGGAGAUUUUUUUCUUCUGUGUCAUGUAUGGAUUCCUUUAACUCAUGAGUUUGCUUCUCAUUGCUUCUGAUUAAUUCUGUGAUUAAUCUUUUGAAUUUAAUUGUCAGGCAUCUCAUGAGUCUCUUUGUCUUCACGUUCUAAUAUUGAAGUGCUGUUGUGUUCCUUUGGGGGAAUCAAGUUGUGUUUAUUCUUGUUCCUUGAGUUCCUGCAUAUGUUUUGAGGCACCUGUGGAAUUACACAGUUUUCUCUUCUGAUGGAUUUUGUCUUUAAACAAUGCCUCUGUGGCCUAGUUGAGUGUCUGGUCCUUCAGUAAAUACCUAGUGGCAUAUUUUGGGUGGGGUUAGAAAACUCUCAGUGCACAAAGGAUGGCAAGAGUUCAGUGGAGUGCAGUAGAUCUCAUCUUUUCAGCAGGAAGGAGGGUAUGAUCACCCCUGUUGGCGUAAUCAUAUCCUCACCUCCUCUCUUCCAAGGUGGUCAUGCCCCGGGAUAGCCCAGUGGGUGCAAUACUCGCCUGCAUGGCCACAUGAACUACAUAAAGGAUCUGUGCAGUCCUCAUGUGAACACGAACCCCACUCCCAGUCAGGGAGCUCUGAGCCCUUGGCACCAAACUCAGUGAUUGCCCAGAGACCCAGUUAUAGUCUGUGCCCUAUAACAUGUAGUCACAUGUCUCCCACACAGUCUCUGCACACAAGUCUCCCAUGAUCACGGGUGCAGAGGGUCCACUCCACCCUGCUAGCCUGUCCUGUGCAUGGAGUGGAAGGGAUACUCCCAGAGCCAGCAGCCUGUGGGUGCUCCAGCUUGGCACUUCGAGCCCUGACCUGUAGGUUGAGAGUCUGGGGACACCUCACAGUCCCACGUGAGUUCGCAGCCCCCUAUCUGUCCUCCCAGCUAGACUGAAAGUCAAUGCAAAUAUGGAUUUUUCCAUCAGGUAAAAUCCCUGGAUCACAUGUAUGUACAAGAGCCAACACAGCCAUUACUCCUUUGAAAAUGGCAUCUUCUCCCUGCGUGUUGCUUGGCACACACAAGAACCACAACAGCCACAGCUGAUUUCAGAAUAGUGGCUUAUCCCCAUCCAUUGCUGGGUGAGUGCACCCAAGCUGCCACAGCCACUACUUCUGUCAACAUGGUGCCCACACCCAAGCUGGUUGCAGGCGCCACUGUUGGGGUUGUGGGGAGAGAAAUGCACCCAUUGUUGCUGUGUUAGGUGGGCACACUGUCCCUCUUUGAGCUCCAAGCCACAUUCACACCAGGCUGUCCCUCCAGUUGUAUCGCCUAUGGUACAGGUUCCCGCAGUCUGCUCUCAUCCCACUCUGCAAAGCUAUGACUUCCUCCAGCUCUUAGCAGCAGGAGUUGUGUGUUGGGUGCAUCUGCACCUUCCACAUGGAUCCAUGGCAUGCCUCUUCCUUCUGUAGAAUUUCCCCUGCAGAUUUCUCUCCAACUCUUCUCCUGGGAAUGCCCUUUCUCCACUUUUUUGCUAUUGUUUUCUCCUAGCCUAAAGCAGUAUGUCCUUUCCCUAUUCCACCAUCUUAAAGAUCUCAAAUAAUUGAGUAAUUUUUUUUAGAAAAACCACGAUGAGAGUUCAUGUUAUUCCAAUUGGAAUGAUUAUUAUCAAAACCACAAUAAGCAUGGGAAUAGCAGAGGAGGAGGAAGGGUGGGGUGCAGGUGGGAAGGAUCACUGUUUCCCAAUUUGUGUAUAUGAAAUGCAUGUAGUGUGUAUACUUCAGUCCUUCUGGUCACGGGAGCUGCCUGGCUCAUGCUGGAUGGGGGAUGUCUCCUUGCUGGCACCUGACAGUGUGGCUCUGGUGUCCAGGAGGACAAGGGUGACCCAGCCCCUGAUCUGAGGUCCCCUUUCAUGCCACAAAGCUUGUCCCUGAGGAGCUCCAUCAGCAAGAUCAUCUUGGAGACAGGCAGCGAGACCCUGGGGGAUGAGUGGCAGUCUGUCUCAGUCAGAGAUCACCUCUACUUGCUACUCCAUCAUGGAGUCACUGUCCAGGAGGGACAGCCCAUCCCAGAGAGUAGAGACCUCAAGGGAACCUAAAGGUCGAUGCUGGGCAAGAGCCUGGGAGGCUGUCAGAGAAGACGCUGCACCUGUCCAUGCUCAGGAAGCAGCAGGAGAACCUACAGAAGAAGGCUGACAGGGCUGCCCUGGAGGAGGAGGUGCAGAGACAGAGGCACCACCAUCAGAGGCUGCAGGCUGAGUCAGAGAGCACAGCAACUGCCUGCUCCUGGCCGCCAAGCAGCCAGGCUCCCCCAUGACCAAGUGGCCGGAGGCAGCCAUGGACCUGCAUGGGCCUCGCCAGCCCUGGGCCCUCCUCAGGAAUCACUCUCUGUGCUGAACUGCAUCUCAGCAGCGCUCCCACUCCCUGGCCUCUUGUUUGGUGGCAAAGUUGCUGCACUCAUCCCAGUUUGUAAAUAUUCUGUGUAGAAGAGGGAACUUCAGGGAGUAAAGGAAGCCACUGCCAAACACACACACACACACACACACACCACCACCACCACCACCACCACCACCAGAGGUCAACCAACAUGGGGUUACCCAUCUCGGGUAGUGGACUCAACAGUGCACACACACUCAGGUGCGUGUGCCAAGUAUGCCUAGAAACUAAUGUGUACCUUCCUACCACUUAUGGCACUAGGUUUCUGGGCCCCAAGAAGAGGAAAUACAGAGACACUAGGGCUGCAAAUUAUGCUGCAGAAAAGUUGUGCUCUGAGCAUUUCAGGCAUGGGAAGCCAAGACACUGUGGCAAAAAAUGAGAUACAUGAAGGAUCCCUGUGAGGGAGAUCCCAGUGGAAAGAAGGGGCCAUCAAAGAAGGAGGUACCUUUCCCUGAUGGGAGGAGAGAACUUCCACUUUGAUUAUGGCCUUGUCUAACUAAGGUCAGACUUUGAGAACUCAAGAGGUUUCCAUUGCCUUGGCAGCUCAUGACAAGAGCCUCAGGUGAUCACUGACAUCAUAAAUAAGAGUGCCAAAUGUUCAUUCAAAAGCAGGAGUCCCUGUGCACUUACUCCCCAUGAAGGACCUCUGUCCUUAAUGAGUUGUGCUAUGAGAAUUAACUGUAAAUGUAAUUCAAACAGGUCUUUAUACUUUGUGUGUCUGUGUGGAUGCAAACUGUUGAAAUCUUUACUUAGUAUAGAAUUGAUCUGGUGUCUCAGCUACCACCUGACUCUGCUGGCUUUCAUAGACUUGUCUUUUCCAA